RNAcentral lists this ribosomal RNA (613 nucleotides) under Ligilactobacillus animalis. Its description in RNAcentral is "bacterial LSU rRNA". It matches the Rfam family "Bacterial large subunit ribosomal RNA", at positions 290 to 899 of the family's 2925-position model. Lineage: Bacteria; Bacillati; Bacillota; Bacilli; Lactobacillales; Lactobacillaceae. The record is from RNAcentral.
CUUUGGGGUUGUAGGACUGGACAUUUGAGUUACCAAGAAACGAAGUAGUUGAAUGAUUUGGGAAGAUCAGCCAGAGAAGGUGAUAGCCCUGUAAGCGAAACUUCGUUUCCUCAGCCCAGUAUCCUGAGUACGGCGGAACACGUGAAACUCCGUCGGAAUCCGGGAGGACCAUCUCCCAAGGCUAAAUACUCCCUAGUGACCGAUAGUGAACCAGUACCGUGAGGGAAAGGUGAAAAGCACCCCGGGAGGGGAGUGAAAUAGUUCCUGAAACCAUGUGCCUACAAGUAGUCAGAGCCCGUUAAUGGGUGAUGGCGUGCCUUUUGUAGAAUGAACCGGCGAGUUACGUUAGCGUGCGAGGUUAAGGCGCAAAGGCCGGAGCCGUAGCGAAAGCGAGUCUGAAUAGGGCGAAUGAGUACGUUGACGUAGACCCGAAACCAGGUGACCUACCCAUGUCCAGGUUGAAGGUGCGGUAAGACGCACUGGAGGACCGAACCCGUGUAUGUUGAAAAAUGCUGGGAUGAGGUGUGGGUAGAGGUGAAAUUCCAAACGAACUUGGAGAUAGCUGGUUCUCUCCGAAAUAGCUUUAGGGCUAGCCUCGGAGUUAAGGAUCGUG